CGCUGUUCGCAGUGGUUCAAGACAAGGAUGGAGCCACAUAAAGAGGCAGCUAAUUGCUCACCGUGGUUUACAGGUUUUUUGGGCUGCCCCCAGCGGUCAACAGCAACACCACUGAAACUUAGAUGAGCUGAGCUUCCUAGCAGCCUCUCAGCCUGUUGCUAGUGCAGAAUGUUCGCAUAAUUAUUUUGCAGAGCCAAUAAUACAAUAAGCGUUGCAAAAAGCCAUACGCUCGUCACAAUUUCUACGUGAACCGAAAGAGGAUAACUCACAGGGCUUGUAGUCUGGAAAAGAGAUAAAAAAACUGGACCCAGACUCAGUCCGUUGAUGGAUGGUGAAAUGAUGCGCUGACGUGUACCUGGAGAGGAACUUGUCCGCUACAUCUCCAGUGUCGGAGAGAGAGCCGAGCCGGCUGAAUUAGUCAGCAAACUGCGACAAGCUGAGCUCACCUUCCUGCUUGCUUCUGCUUAGUUUCUGACUUGGUUUACUCUUAGACAUUGAAGCUGGGGGCGGUGUGUUUCUCUGGAACGUCGCGUUUUCUCCCCACUACACGGAAUUACAACCCAGAAAACCAUACUCUUCACAGGCAUCACCAUGAGAACCUCAAAUCCAGCCUCGUGAGUGCCUGCUGAAAUUUCGUAGUAAUGCAUUUUUAUCCGAUUAGUAUUAUCUGUAUAAUAAUGGACUAAAUAUUGUCGUAUAUCAUGCCAAUUUUUGUAUUCUUCUGAACUCCUUUGAAGAGUACAGACCAAUUGGUGCAGAUAGCUUUUGAGUAAAAUAGACUAGUACGGAAGUAGCUUCACUCUCGCGAAAACAAGAGGCUUCUCAUACAGUGAUUUCACCAAGAUAUGUCAGGUCAGGUCAUGUGACAUCUGUGGACGAAAUGCCUCUGUAACGAGUUUUAUCUGGGUGCUUCGGUUUCCCCUACCAAUUCUCUUUCCACCGACUCCUCCACUAUCAUUAAUCAUUCUAUCAUCGACAUUUUGUGGUUAGGGACAGGCAGCAUCGUUAAAACGAAUUGAAAUGAUUAAAAGAGGAGGGCAGAUACACACAACAGUCGCCACUAUUCAACUUCACUGGAACCCCAGGUCUAGCAACAUCUUCUGCUCUGUGCCGUUGUGGUAAAUGUGAAAGCAGGCAAUUCCUUGCAGAUGUCUUGGAAGGCGCUGUCGUCUCUUCUGUUCGCUCCGUUACAGCAAUGCUACCGGCAUGUGAAGUGACCACUCCCUUCCUUCUAAU
Molecule: long non-coding RNA, 1236 nt
Organism: Cryptotermes secundus
Lineage: Eukaryota; Metazoa; Arthropoda; Insecta; Blattodea; Kalotermitidae
Exons: 3
Source: RefSeq, a predicted model, not a curated record